Molecule: ribosomal RNA, 498 nt
Filed under: uncultured Bacillota bacterium
Lineage: Bacteria; Bacillati; Bacillota
Description: bacterial SSU rRNA
Rfam family: Bacterial small subunit ribosomal RNA
Source: RNAcentral
GACGAACGCUGGCGGCGUGCCUAAUACAUGCAAGUCGAGCGGACCAAUAGAAAAGCUUGCUUUUCUUGAGGUUAGCGGCGGACGGGUGAGUAACACGUGGGCAACCUACCUGUAAGACUGGGAUAACUUACGGAAACGUGAGCUAAUACCGGAUAGUUUCACUUCUCGCAUGAGAAGUGAAGGAAAGAUGGCUUUUAGCUAUCACUUACAGAUGGGCCCGCGGCGCAUUAGCUAGUUGGUGGGGUAAAGGCCUACCAAGGCGACGAUGCGUAGCCGACCUGAGAGGGUGAUCGGCCACACUGGGACUGAGACACGGCCCAGACUCCUACGGGAGGCAGCAGUAGGGAAUCUUCCGCAAUGGACGAAAGUCUGACGGAGCAACGCCGCGUGAGCGAAGAAGGUCUUCGGAUCGUAAAGCUCUGUUGUUAGGGAAGAACAAGUACCGGAGUAACUGUCGGUACCUUGACGGUACCUAACCAGAAAGCCACGGCUAACUAC